Molecule: long non-coding RNA, 2470 nt
Organism: Anolis carolinensis (green anole)
Lineage: Eukaryota; Metazoa; Chordata; Lepidosauria; Squamata; Anolidae
Source: Ensembl
AUGAGAUUUGGUGGCCAGUAUAAGAGUUGCUCUUCCGCAGAAAAUAUUGUGGCCAGACUACAGUGGCUCCUUCACAGGCUUCUCGUGAAUGUGGACUUCUCUCUUUCUGGACCUGGACUGGUUUGGCUAAAGACACUGCUUCUGCGGACACUGGAGCAAUGCUGUUUUGGAUUUCUCCUGCUUCGACCCUGGACUUCGGCUGACACUUCUCUUCCUGCGACUCCUUUUGUUUACCAUUUGUAAACUGUGCCUUUUUGUUUUGCCUCAGAGCAUUUUGUUUGACUUGCUGCUCUUUGCAUCCAGUUAAUCUGGAUUAUAUUUCUGUUAAUCUUUUGGAUCAGGUCUGAUUUGGUUUUUUGAGUUUUUUGACCAGUGGAACUGCAUUUUAGUUUCUCUGCGUCCCUUUUCUUUUGUUUUAAUAAAUUCUGUUUUGAAGUCACUUUUAAGUCUGGCCCUUUAAGGCAUCUUUGAUUCCAACAAGAACAUUAAACAGGUGCAUUCCACAUUGAAAAACAGUCUAAACAAUCUGACAUAUUUCUUUUGUAAUAUUUCUUUUGUUAUUUUCAUGAUGAUACUAGUAGUUGAUGCAGCAAAAAUAGAAUCACCUACAGAUAAUAAUAGUAAUAAUAAUCAUAAUAAACAUAAUAAUCAUAAUCAUAAUAACUUUAUUUUUGUAUCCCACCUCCAUCUCCCCGAGGGCGGCAGAUGUGAGAGGAAUUAGCAGAGAUGGGACAAAUAAAUGUAACAUGGAUAUGACAAGGAUCUCCACACUUACAUAAUGAUUGAAGAUGUACAAUCCCUACAGAAUGGUGGCUUAUUGGGCAAAGGUGGAAUGACAUGUAAUAGAAUAAUGAAAGGAAUUGAGUAUCCUGUAAAAAUUAGCAUGAUUAACUUAUGGAGGAAAAGAAGAGAAGGGGAUGUCAGUGGUUGAAAAGCAGAAGGGAAAGAAUAAUUGAGAAAGAAAAGCCAAGAGAAAUGAAAAUCCGGUAGGUGGGUUUGAGGAUAAUACGUAAACAACUUCAAAGGGGUUCUGCAGUUCAUUGAAUAAUAUUAGUGUGUAUUACACAAUAAUAUAUAAUUGGAAUCAGUAAAACAUAUAAAGACGCCAGCUAUAGAUACAGGUGAAAUGUCAGGAGAGAAUGCUGCUGGAAAAUGGCCAUAAAGCCCCAAAAAUUCACAGCAAUUCAGACUCCAGCCAUGAAAACCUUCAACAAUACAAUUAUGAUUCUUUGAUUCUGUCUGUCUGUCUGUCUGUCUAUCAUUCUUAAUAUUUGUCACUUUGUCUGUCCAAAUAUACAUAAAACAUAUGCAAUAAAACUGAGUCCCAUCUUUACAGAGUUGUAAAUAUUUUAAGAGGAAACUUUGUUGCUAUAUGCUUACUUCUCAUAUUCUGCACGUUUAUAUAGCUGUCUCUUUCAGGAUAUCUGAAAGAUGACUUUGAAUUAUAUCUGGUUCUAAAAUAUGCAGGCAAAAGCUGCAUGAUAAAAAUGGUCUUAUCAAAAAGAUGUUGAACUUUACAUUUCCACAUCAUCAUUCAAUACCAAUGAAAAUUGCACAUUUAGGGAAAUGUGCUUCUCAAUUGUCUAUGUCUAAGUGGAAUGCAGUGAAAAUAGCUGUUGAAGGAGGGUAAUUAUGUUAAAAGUAUGGCAAGAGAAUGAUGUCCUUUCAUGAAAACUAAUCAGCACCUUGAAUGUGUCUAUUGAUACCGAAUGGUCAAGAACAAUCUGCUGAACCACUGGCCCGAAAUUACCAUUAACUUUGUCUUGUUCUCAAAGUAUUCAGUUUCUUUUCCAGCAGAUAUGCUCUAUAUUCUCUGUAUUGUUACUUGCAGAAUUGAACUGUACAGAUCCUCCUAUUUUCUAACACUUUGUUAGACAUCACUGUGAAAGAAACAGUGCUAAAUCGCACCAUUGCUGCCUCCCGCCCUCCCUCUUUCCUCAUUCAUACCUAUAGAGGGAAGUCAGAUGUAAUAUCUUUUAGAGCUAACUUUUGUACCACCUUCUCUUGGAGCUUGGAACAAGGAUUUUUUGGACUACAGUGGGUCCUGAGUUGGUAUGCACUAGGGUUUGGUUCUAGGAUCCCUUGUUGAUAAUGGGUAUCAACAUUCAUGAAUGCUCAAGCACCAUUAUAUACAAUGGUGUGGUGAAAAGGUGUCCUUUAAAUUCUUCAUUUCAUUUCCCUGAUUGGUUGCCUUGGAAACAGAACAGUUUUGUUGUAUCUGGGGACCCAGGUAUCUUGCCCAAGUUAGCUGAAUAGCCACUGGCUCAGCUUAUUACACACCAAGUUCAUACUCUUUAGAAAUAUUUUUCAGGUCACAAAAGCUUAAAUAGGUAACUUUAAUAUAAGCUUCCCAUAUUUAAUCCCAUACUGUUGUGUGGUUUCGUUAUUGUGGGGGUUGGUUGGCAAAAUUUUACAUUGACUUGUUUCAUCAAACCAUAAUGUACAGUAUGUGUAACUAAAACAGAAGGUC